RNAcentral lists this long non-coding RNA (918 nucleotides) under Mus musculus (house mouse). RNAcentral's name for it is "long non-coding RNA chrX:113834173-113835091". Lineage: Eukaryota; Metazoa; Chordata; Mammalia; Rodentia; Muridae. The record is from RNAcentral.
GCUAGGACCUCAUUACAGAGCUCAGACUGCAUGUCCAAAAGAUUAAUCUAAGCAGUUUUCUGGGGUUAAAGAUUACCAAACUAUUAAAAACAAAAAAAAAAUUUUAUGUUCUGGUUUCUGAAACAUUCAAGUUAGUUCCAUGGCUUUCUUGUACAAAUGUCUAUUUACCUGCUAAUGAAGCCCUAUUCCAGCUUUUCUGAUUAACACAUAAUACAAGUUUUUCUUCUAUUACCUUGUAUCUCCUUUAUUUUUGGUUUUGAAAUAAUUGCCACGAAAUUCCAUUGAUUUUUUUAAUAUGCAAUAUUCUCCAAAAAUAUAUUGUAGAGAUUUUUUCCUUAUAACUCAAAACCUUUUCCCAUAUGUGUUAAUAUUUUAAACAAGGAAUAUCAGUCAAGCAUGAUAAUACAUGCAUCCUUAUAUGUAAAGAGGGCACAUUUGUUUUACAAAAAUGUAAUUUUAGGUGUUUAUUGAACAUAAGUAAUAGAUUUGUGCUGAUUUAUGAACACAUUCUUUUCUGCUUCCUGUUCUGUAACCAAAGGAUAAUUUUUGUUAUUUAGCUAGUGAAACAAACAGGUCAUAAGCCAUUAUAAUAGAAAAGAGCAAUUUUAAGCCCAAAGAGGCAGAUUAUAAUUUCUUUUUCAUUUUCAAUAAUAAAAGUUAACUAUAUCUAUGAGUUGGUAUCUAACUAGCAAAUAAUAUAUAGAUUGUAUUACAAAUGUUUAAAUGAAUAUUGGUUUUGCCACUUAAAAUUCAAAUGAUAUUGAAAACUAGUCUCCAUAUGGUGUGCACGGUCUUAGAAUUAACCUGGGCAAUAAAAAUUCUAAAUGUACAAAGUUGUUAUUAUUUUAGAGCCAAACCAGGCAAUAUCUUUCCUUCUGAUUUUGGUAAAGCACAGGAACUUCAAGUGUAAUAUUAUGU